RNAcentral lists this transfer RNA (74 nucleotides) under Granulicella sp. 5B5. RNAcentral describes it as "tRNA-Gln". It matches the Rfam family "tRNA". From Rfam's summary of the family: Transfer RNA (tRNA) molecules are approximately 80 nucleotides in length. RNAcentral also lists the same sequence under 3 other names. Lineage: Bacteria; Pseudomonadati; Acidobacteriota; Terriglobia; Terriglobales; Acidobacteriaceae. The record is from RNAcentral.
UGCCCUCUCGUUCAAUGGUAGGACUAGCGACUCUGACUCGCUCGAUCGGGGUUCGAAUCCCUGGGGGGCAACCA